RNAcentral lists this ribosomal RNA (468 nucleotides) under Salmonella enterica subsp. enterica serovar Hartford. RNAcentral describes it as "bacterial SSU rRNA". It matches the Rfam family "Bacterial small subunit ribosomal RNA", at positions 51 to 508 of the family's 1533-position model. The record is from RNAcentral. Lineage: Bacteria; Pseudomonadati; Pseudomonadota; Gammaproteobacteria; Enterobacterales; Enterobacteriaceae.
ACACAUGCAAGUCGAACGGUAACAGGAAGCAGCUUGCUGCUUCGCUGACGAGUGGCGGACGGGUGAGUAAUGUCUGGGAAACUGCCUGAUGGAGGGGGAUAACUACUGGAAACGGUGGCUAAUACCGCAUAACGUCGCAAGACCAAAGAGGGGGACCUUCGGGCCUCUUGCCAUCAGAUGUGCCCAGAUGGGAUUAGCUAGUUGGUGAGGUAACGGCUCACCAAGGCGACGAUCCCUAGCUGGUCUGAGAGGAUGACCAGCCACACUGGAACUGAGACACGGUCCAGACUCCUACGGGAGGCAGCAGUGGGGAAUAUUGCACAAUGGGCGCAAGCCUGAUGCAGCCAUGCCGCGUGUAUGAAGAAGGCCUUCGGGUUGUAAAGUACUUUCAGCGGGGAGGAAGGUGUUGUGGUUAAUAACCGCAGCAAUUGACGUUACCCGCAGAAGAAGCACCGGCUAACUCCGUGC